AUGGAGGAGCACACUCCUGUUCACUUUCGGUUGUACAAGUCAGAGCAUAAGUACAUGAUGCUCGUGUACUCUGAUCUAAGAAGAUUGAUCCGUCAGCGGUGGAGAGCUUUAACGUUUAUUUGA
Molecule: ribosomal RNA, 123 nt
Filed under: Triticum aestivum (bread wheat)
Lineage: Eukaryota; Viridiplantae; Streptophyta; Magnoliopsida; Poales; Poaceae
Description: partial small subunit ribosomal RNA
Source: RNAcentral